CCCAAGAGAUCGGGAUAACACCUGGAAACAGAUGCUAAUACCGGAUAACAACAGAUGAUGCCUAUCAACUGUUUAAAGAUGGUUCUGCUAUCACUCUUGGAUGGACCUGCGGUGCAUUAGCUAGUUGGUAGGGUAACGGCCUACCAAGGCGAUGAUGCAUAGCCGAGUUGAGAGACUGAUCGGCCACAUUGGGACUGAGACACGGCCCAAACUCCUACGGGAGGCAGCAGUA
Molecule: ribosomal RNA, 232 nt
Filed under: uncultured Lactobacillus sp.
Lineage: Bacteria; Bacillati; Bacillota; Bacilli; Lactobacillales; Lactobacillaceae
Description: partial 16S ribosomal RNA
Rfam family: Bacterial small subunit ribosomal RNA
Source: RNAcentral